This 426-nucleotide ribosomal RNA is filed under the name Triticum aestivum (bread wheat). Its description in RNAcentral is "partial small subunit ribosomal RNA". Lineage: Eukaryota; Viridiplantae; Streptophyta; Magnoliopsida; Poales; Poaceae. The record is from RNAcentral.
AACCUAAGGAAAUGGCAUAUUAUCAAACCCCUUGACUGUGUGUUUUACCCUGAACUAGAAUCUAUAUCUCAUCUGUUCUUUGACUGUAUAGUGGCUAAAAAUGUGUGGUCUUUUAUUAAGGACCACUCUAGAUUCCAGAUCAGGAAUGAUUUUGAAUCUAUGGUUAGAUUCUGGAUCUCCAAUGAUAAAAACUCUGCUCUAAAUACAAUUAGUUAUAUUGUUGUUUGGUGUAUGUGGAAAUAUAUAAAUUCUAUGAUUUUCAAUAACACCAUUUGGAUAUCUAUCAACCAAGUCUUGACAUUGAUCCUAAGAACGAUCAAAUUCUGGGCUGUAUUGUCUCCAGAUCAGUGCAAGAUGACGCUGACGACCUUCUCAGAACAAUUGGCAAGAUUCAUCCAGAAAACUUUGAUGGUUACAUGUGGCUGA